RNAcentral lists this small RNA (560 nucleotides) under chicken gut metagenome. The record is from RNAcentral.
AUAUAUAUGGAAGAUGCAGUAUUCUAGUCAGACUUGACUACGAGGACGGCGAAGUAAUGGCGUCAAAGGGCACAUCGAUGAAGUUCCUGGUGCAAGCCUUGGUUGCCCAAACUGGGGUAUGUGCUGGGAGUUAAGAUUUUUGGGCAGUCUGUAACGGCAUACAGAUGGCGACCCAAUUAUCGCGGAGACCCAACAGGGUGGGCUCUACCACUCUCUGGGAAUAGAACCUGCAUUGCGGUAAAAGUCGUGUGCAGUGUAGCCUACUUUGAGUGAAUAUACUGGGGAUCAAGUGUUAAACAUAUUUAUUUUGCUCGCGAACGAGAUAAAUAUCUGCUUGUGAAACUAUAUUUGCAAAACAAGUGAAUUGUAGUUUGGUUUGCCAGAGAAAAUCUCUAGACUGUCGAACUUUCGGGCAUAGGUAGGAUUAUAGUGUGUUCUGAGUGGCGAUUCGGUGCAGUGGCUUGCUUAAAAGGAAACUGCUCAUUUCGGUGACGAGGAGUGCGAGUCUAGGGAAAUCCGACCGAACCUAUGACACAAGGUUUACUAUCUUUGCUGUCUUC